RNAcentral lists this ribosomal RNA (253 nucleotides) under uncultured bacterium. RNAcentral's name for it is "partial 16S ribosomal RNA". It matches the Rfam family "Bacterial small subunit ribosomal RNA", at positions 524 to 776 of the family's 1533-position model. The record is from RNAcentral.
UACGUAGGGGGCUAGCGUUGUCCGGAAUCAUUGGGCGUAAAGAGCGUGUAGGCGGUCCGGUAAGUCCGUUGUGAAAGUCAGGGGCUCAACCCUUGAAUGCCGGCGGAUACUGUCGGGCUUGAGUACGGAAGAGGCGAGUGGAAUUCCUGGUGUAGCGGUGAAAUGCGCAGAUAUCAGGAGGAACACCAAUUGCGAAGGCAGCUCGCUGGGACGUUACUGACGCUGAGACGCGAAAGCGUGGGGAGCAAACAGG